Molecule: ribosomal RNA, 465 nt
Filed under: Vreelandella stevensii
Lineage: Bacteria; Pseudomonadati; Pseudomonadota; Gammaproteobacteria; Oceanospirillales; Halomonadaceae
Description: partial 16S ribosomal RNA
Rfam family: Bacterial small subunit ribosomal RNA
Source: RNAcentral
CCUACGGGUGGCAGCAGUGGGGAAUAUUGGACAAUGGGGGGAACCCUGAUCCAGCCAUGCCGCGUGUGUGAAGAAGGCCCUCGGGUUGUAAAGCACUUUCAGUGAGGAAGAACGCCUGGUGGUUAAUACCCAUCAGGAAAGACAUCACUCACAGAAGAAGCACCGGCUAACUCCGUGCCAGCAGCCGCGGUAAUACGGAGGGUACGAGCGUUAAUCGGAAUUACUGGGCGUAAAGCGCGCGUAGGUGGCUUGAUAAGCCGGUUGUGAAAGCCCCGGGCUCAACCUGGGAACGGCAUCCGGAACUGUCAAGCUAGAGUGCAGGAGAGGAAGGUAGAAUUCCCGGUGUAGCGGUGAAAUGCGUAGAGAUCGGGAGGAAUACCAGUGGCGAAGGCGGCCUUCUGGACUGACACUGACACUGAGGUGCGAAAGCGUGGGUAGCAAACAGGAUUAGAUACCCGGGUAGUC